AGGUUGGCAAACUGGCAGAACGUGUUGAUUGUGUGCUCUGGACUGACAAAGCAGAUAAACACACAGGGAAUGAGUGAUGCAAGUCUGAGACACUGAGAUCAGAAGUUGAAUUAACAUUACCGACGUACUCAGAAUAGCAGGGCCUUUGAAUUACCCGUGAUUUUUUUUUUUUUUUUUUUUGUAUAUUUUAAGCUAAUUUCCUAGCUAACUCUUGUGAUGUCUGGGCUGAUGAGGUGAAACCAGAGAGGCUGGAUAAAACCCACACAGACUCGGAGAGAACAUGCACAGAAAAAACACACAGACGAAACCAGAGCAUGGAUGAUCCAGAUUGCAACUUGCAAGAUCCUGUGUGUACAAAACAUACAAUUUGCCCACAUCUAAAGCUGAGACAACAUUUCCACUGGAACUUUUUGAAGAACUAUCCUAAAUUAGAGCUACACAGUUAAUGUAUUUCUGGUGCCCAUGAUGUAUAGUACAAUAAGAAAGCAUCCUGCGGAAUGGCUAAAAACACUGAGUGACCCAGAACUAAUAACAUUUAUAAAAUUGUACUUACUAAUUUUCUAUGGUAUCCAAGAGGUGCCCUGAGGAUACAGUAUAUUGUACAGUUUGAUAAAGCCAAGUGAAGAAAUAAAUGUUU
This is a long non-coding RNA of Pangasianodon hypophthalmus (striped catfish), 637 nucleotides long. RefSeq lists it as uncharacterized. The record is from RefSeq and is a predicted model, not a curated record. The transcript has 3 exons. Lineage: Eukaryota; Metazoa; Chordata; Actinopteri; Siluriformes; Pangasiidae.